GACGAACGCUGGCGGCGUGCCUAAUACAUGCAAGUAGAACGCUGAAGGAGGAGCUUGCUUCUCUGGAUGAGUUGCGAACGGGUGAGUAACGCGUAGGUAACCUGCCUGGUAGCGGGGGAUAACUAUUGGAAACGAUAGCUAAUACCGCAUAACAGUAGAUGUUGCAUGACAUUUGCUUAAAAGGUGCAAUUGCAUCACUACCAGAUGGACCUGCGUUGUAUUAGCUAGUUGGUGGGGUAACGGCUCACCAAGGCGACGAUACAUAGCCGACCUGAGAGGGUGAUCGGCCACACUGGGACUGAGACACGGCCCAGACUCCUACGGGAGGCAGCAGUAGGGAAUCUUCGGCAAUGGACGGAAGUCUGACCGAGCAACGCCGCGUGAGUGAAGAAGGUUUUCGGAUCGUAAAGCUCUGUUGUAAGAGAAGAACGAGUGUGAGAGUGGAAAGUUCACACUGUGACGUAUCUACCAGAAA
RNAcentral lists this ribosomal RNA (475 nucleotides) under Streptococcus mitis. Its description in RNAcentral is "bacterial SSU rRNA". It matches the Rfam family "Bacterial small subunit ribosomal RNA", at positions 28 to 489 of the family's 1533-position model. The record is from RNAcentral. Lineage: Bacteria; Bacillati; Bacillota; Bacilli; Lactobacillales; Streptococcaceae.